Nycticebus coucang (slow loris) is the source of this 102-nucleotide small nuclear RNA. The record is from RefSeq and is a predicted model, not a curated record. NCBI's taxonomy places the organism in Eukaryota, Metazoa, Chordata, Mammalia, Primates, Lorisidae.
GCUUGUUUCAGCAGCAUAUACUAAAAUUGGAACGAUACAGAGAAAAGUAAAAUGGCCCCUCACAAUGAUGACAUGCAAAUUCAUGAAGCGUUCCAUACUUUA